AAGUCCUGAGGAGACGACGCCCACAACGUAAACAAACCGCCAUAACCUGAAUUCAUUAUUUGCCUUAAUAAUUACCAUUAAAUUUUCCAGUUCAUUAGUAAAUUAUCUAAAUUUUUAGUUAUAUUCCCACGAUUGCUUACAAUUGUCCACCAAUUAACUUAUUAGAAUGAAUGAAAACAAGCCAAACCACUUCUAAACCAGAAUCGCAAACAUAAACACUGUCAAAUAGAAGACACCCAAAAUGUCAACAAACUGACGCCAUUGACUGCCUCAGUAGCUUUCUGCCUAAAUUCUAUUCAAAGGUCUUUUAUCUUCUGUAAUAAUUGCCGUCCUAGUCAUCGAGGCAAUUCAUAAUUAAGCGUAGUAGUUGAUAAAUUUCAAAUAUAACUGAUAAAUAGUGUAAUAGUGUGGGUGUAAAAGGACCGUGAGAGUCAGGAAUGAAGUGUGCAAGUGGUGUCUUGGGCGUAGCCCUAGAGUGUCAUUCAAUCAAUCUAUCAUAAGUAAAUAAUUUGUGAAGCACCAAAUGCAGACUUGGUGAGAGGACCUUGGAAAUUAAAGUUACAGUCCAUAAUUGUCGAAAAGGAACUGUUUUUUCAUCUUGUUGGAAACUUGUUAAGACUGUUGUGCAUUUUAUUUUUCUAUAACCUGUUUUGUUAUAAAUGAUCAUUGGUAAUCUGUGAAGGAACAUGUUUUCUAUGAAUUGUGUUAACUUUCCUCAAUAACAUACUCUAGGU
Molecule: long non-coding RNA, 734 nt
Organism: Macrobrachium nipponense
Lineage: Eukaryota; Metazoa; Arthropoda; Malacostraca; Decapoda; Palaemonidae
Exons: 3
Source: RefSeq, a predicted model, not a curated record